RNAcentral lists this ribosomal RNA (303 nucleotides) under uncultured bacterium. RNAcentral describes it as "partial 16S ribosomal RNA". It matches the Rfam family "Bacterial small subunit ribosomal RNA", at positions 507 to 808 of the family's 1533-position model. The record is from RNAcentral.
AGCAGUCGCCACGGGAAUACGAAGGGUGCAAGCGUUAAUCGGAAUUACUGGGCGUAAAGCGUGCGUAGGCGGUUUGUUAAGUCUGUUGUGAAAUCCCCGGGCUCAACCUGGGAAUGGCAAUGGAUACUGGCAAGCUAGAGUGUGUCAGAGGAUGGUGGAAUUCCCGGUGUAGCGGUGAAAUGCGUAGAGAUCGGAAGAACACCAGUGGCGAAGGCGGCUUACUGGCUCAUACUGGACGCUGAGGUGCGAAAGCGUGGGGAGCAAACAGGAUUAGAUACCCGCGUAGUCCCUGUCUCUUAUACA